AACGAAGAUAUUAAGAAUGAGAGCUUCGGCAGGAAUUUUUCUUAUCUUAGUGGCGGACGGGUGAGUAACGUGUGGGCAACCUGCCCUGCACUGGGGAAUAAUCAUUGGAAACGAUGACUAAUACCGCAUACGGUUCCUGGGAGGCAUCUUCCGGGAAAGAAAGGAUUUAUUCGGUGCAGGAUGGGCCCGCAUCUGAUUAGCUAGUUGGUGAGAUAACAGCCCACCAAGGCGACGAUCAGUAGCCGACCUGAGAGGGUGACCGGCCACAUUGGGACUGAGACACGGCCCAAACUCCUACGGGAGGCAGCAGUGGGGAAUAUUGCACAAUGGGCGAAAGCCUGAUGCAGCAACGCCGCGUGAAGGAAGAAGGGUUUCGGCUCGUAAACUUCUAUCAACAGGGACGAAAGAAAUGACGGUACCUGAAUAAGAAGCCCCGGCUAACUACGUGCCAGCAGCCGCGGUAAUACGUAGGGGGCAAGCGUUAUCCGGAAUUACUGGGU
This 500-nucleotide ribosomal RNA is filed under the name uncultured bacterium. RNAcentral describes it as "bacterial SSU rRNA". It matches the Rfam family "Bacterial small subunit ribosomal RNA", at positions 59 to 559 of the family's 1533-position model. The record is from RNAcentral.